This 25-nucleotide non-coding RNA is filed under the name Cricetulus griseus (Chinese hamster). The record is from RNAcentral. Lineage: Eukaryota; Metazoa; Chordata; Mammalia; Rodentia; Cricetidae.
GAAUAUCCUUUGCACACACAGAAGA